Molecule: ribosomal RNA, 1000 nt
Filed under: Micrococcus luteus
Lineage: Bacteria; Bacillati; Actinomycetota; Actinomycetes; Micrococcales; Micrococcaceae
Description: bacterial SSU rRNA
Rfam family: Bacterial small subunit ribosomal RNA
Source: RNAcentral
AGGAAUGCUGCUGCUACCAUGCAGUCGAACGAUGAAGCCCAGCUGCUCCGGUGGAUUAAUGGCGAAGGGUGAGUAACACGUGAGUAACCUGCCCUUGACUCUAGGAUAAGCCUGGGAAACUGGGUCUAAUACCGGAAAGGACCAUCCACCGCAAGGUGGGUGUUGGAAAGAUUUAUCCCUUUUGGAUGGACUCGCGGCCAAUCACCUUGUUGGUGAGGUAAUGGCUCACCAGUGCGGCCACAGGUAGCCAGCCUGACAGGGUGACCGGCCACACAGGGACUGACACACGGCCCUGACUCCUACUCCAGGCUCCUAUGGGGAAUAUUGCACAAUGAGCGAAAGCCUGAUGCAGCGACGCCGCGCGAGGGAUGACGGCCUUCGGGUUGUAAACCUCUCUCAGUAAAGGAAGAAUCGUCGUGACGAAACCUUACGAAUAAAUACCGGCUAACUACGUGCCAGCAGCCGCGGUAAUACGUAGGGUGCGAGCGUUAUCCGGAAUUAUUGGGCGUAAAGAGCUCAUAGGCAGUUUGUCUUGUCGGUCGUGAAAGUCCGGGGCGUAACUUCUGAUCUGCGGUGGGUACGGGCAGACCACAGUGCAGUAAGGGAGACUGGAAUUCCUGGUGUAGCGUACUGAAUGCGCAGGAUAUCAAGAGGAACACCGAUGGCGAAAUGCAGGUCUCUGGGCUGUAACUGACGCUGACGAGCGCAGCGCAUGUGGGAGCGAACAGGAUUAGAUACCCUGGUAGUCCAUGCCGUAAACAUUAGGCACUACGCUGUGGGGGACCAUUCCACGGUCUCCGCUCCGCAGCUGACGCAGUACGUGCCCCGCGCGGUGGAGUACAGCACGCAAUGCUAUAACUCACAGGAAGUAGACUGGCGCGCGGCACAAGCACGUCAGAUCGAUGCGGAUGAGUUCGAUGCAACGCGCAGAACAUACCUAAGCAUUGACAUGUACUGCGAUAGCCCUAUACAUACUGUUCCCUUCUGAGGACGUGUUCAC